GAUGAACGCUGGCGGCGUGCCUAAUACAUGCAAGUCGAGCGAACGGACGAGAAUCUUGCUUCUCUGAUGUUAGCGGCGGACGUGUGAGUAACACGUGGAUAACCUACCUAUAAGACUGGGAUAACUUCGGGAAACCGUAGCUAAUACCGGAUAAUAUUUUGAACCGCAUGGUUCAAAAGUGAAAGACGGUCUUGCUGUCACUUAUAGAUGGAUCCGCGCUGCAUUAGCUAGUUGGUAAGGUAACGGCUUACCAAGGCAACGAUGCAUAGCCGACCUGAGAGGGUGAUCGGCCACACUGGAACUGAGACACGGUCCAGACUCCUACUGGAGGCAGCAGUAGGGAAUCUUCCGCAAUGGGCGAAAGCCUGACGGAGCAACGCCGCGUGAGUGAUGAAGGUCUUCGGAUCGUAAAACUCUGUUAUUAGGGAAGAACAUAUGUGUAAGUAACUGUGCACAUCUUGACGGUACCUAAUCAGAAAGCCACGGCUAACUACGUG
RNAcentral lists this ribosomal RNA (497 nucleotides) under uncultured bacterium. Its description in RNAcentral is "partial 16S ribosomal RNA". It matches the Rfam family "Bacterial small subunit ribosomal RNA", at positions 28 to 507 of the family's 1533-position model. The record is from RNAcentral.